UAAGGAAUAUUGGUCAAUGGACGCAAGUCUGAACCAGCCAUGCCGCGUGAAGGAUGAAGGUCCUCUGGAUUGUAAACUUCUUUUAUCUGGGACGAAAACGGGAUUUUUAUCUCAAUUGACGGUACCAGAGGAAUAAGCACCGGCUAACUCCGUGCCAGCAGCCGCGGUAAUACGGAGGGUGCGAGCGUUAUCCGGAUUUACUGGGUUUAAAGGGUGCGUAGGUGGGCUUAUAAGUCAGUGGUGAAAUCUCCGAGCUUAACUUGGAAACUGCCGUUGAUACUAUAGGCCUUGAAUUAUCUGGAGNUAAGCGGAAUAUGUCAUGUAGCGGUGAAAUGCUUAGAUAUGACAUAGAACACCAAUUGCGAAGGCAGCUUACUACAUAUAAAUUGACGCUGAGGCACGAAAGCGUGGGGAUCAAACA
Molecule: ribosomal RNA, 421 nt
Filed under: uncultured bacterium
Lineage: Bacteria
Description: bacterial SSU rRNA
Rfam family: Bacterial small subunit ribosomal RNA
Source: RNAcentral